RNAcentral lists this unclassified non-coding RNA (329 nucleotides) under soil metagenome. RNAcentral's name for it is "partial contains 5.8S ribosomal RNA, internal transcribed spacer 2, and large subunit ribosomal RNA". The stretch from base 1 to 120 matches the Rfam family "5.8S ribosomal RNA", at positions 35 to 154 of the family's 154-position model. The record is from RNAcentral.
GAUGAAGAACGUAGUGAAAUGCGAUAACUAAUGUGAAUUGCAGAAUUCCGUGAAUCAUCGAGUCUUUGAACGCACAUUGCGCCCCCUGGUAUUCCGGGGGGCAUGCCUGUUCGAGCGUCAUUAUAACCACUCAAGCUCUCGCUUGGUAUUGGGGUUCGCGGUUCCGCGGCCCCUAAAAUCAGUGGCGGUGCCUGUCGGCUCUACGCGUAGUAAUACUCCUCGCGAUUGAGUCCGGUAGGUCUACUUGCCAGCAACCCCCAAUUUUUACAGGUUGACCUCGGAUCAGGUAGGGAUACCCGCUGAACUUAAGCAUAUCAAUAAGCGGAGGA